UUUCCGUAGGUGAACCUGCGGAAGGAUCAUUACUGAGUGAGGGCCCUCUGGGUCCAACCUCCCACCCGUGUUUAUUGUACCUUGUUGCUUCGGUGAGCCCGCCUCACGGCCGCCGGGGGGCAUCUGCCCCCGGCCCCGCGCUCGCCGAAGCCACCCUUGAACUCUGUCUGAAGUUUGCAGUCUGAGCGAAAACUAAAUAAGUUAAAACUUUCAACAACGGAUCUCUUGGUUCCG
Molecule: unclassified non-coding RNA, 234 nt
Filed under: plant metagenome
Description: partial contains small subunit ribosomal RNA, internal transcribed spacer 1, and 5.8S ribosomal RNA
Source: RNAcentral